This 250-nucleotide ribosomal RNA is filed under the name uncultured bacterium. RNAcentral describes it as "partial 16S ribosomal RNA". It matches the Rfam family "Bacterial small subunit ribosomal RNA", at positions 524 to 773 of the family's 1533-position model. The record is from RNAcentral.
UACAGAGGGUGCAAACGUUGCUCGGAAUCAUUGGGCGUAAAGCGCACGUAGGCGGUCCAGCAAGCGGGGAGUGAAAGCCCUCGGCUUAACCGAGGAAGUGCUUUCCGAACUACUGGGCUUGAGUACGCAAGAGGGUCGCGGAAUUCCCGGUGUAGAGGUGAAAUUCGUAGAUAUCGGGAGGAACACCAGUGGCGAAGGCGGCGACCUGGGGCGAUACUGACGCUGAGGUGCGAAAGCGUGGGGAGCAAAC